CCUACGGGGCGCUGCAGUGGGGAAUAUUGGACAAUGGGCGAAAGCCUGAUCCAGCCAUGCCGCGUGUGUGAAGAAGGCCUUCGGGUUGUAAAGCACUUUCAGUGGGGAAGAAAGCCUUGGGGCUAAUACCCUCGAGGAAGGACAUCACCCACAGAAGAAGCACCGACUAACUCCGUGCCAGCAGCCGCGGUAAUACGGAGGGUGCGAGCGUUAAUCGGAAUUACUGGGCGUAAAGCGCGCGUAGGCGGUCUGAUAAGCCGGUUGUGAAAGCCCCGGGCUCAACCUGGGAACGGCAUCCGGAACUGUCAGGCUAGAGUGCAGGAGAGGAAGGUAGAAUUCCCGGUGUAGCGGUGAAAUGCGUAGAGAUCGGGAGGAAUACCAGUGGCGAAGGCGGCCUUCUGGACUGACACUGACGCUGAGGUGCGAAAGCGUGGGUAGCAAACAGGAUUAGAUACCCUGGUAGUC
RNAcentral lists this ribosomal RNA (465 nucleotides) under Vreelandella stevensii. RNAcentral describes it as "partial 16S ribosomal RNA". It matches the Rfam family "Bacterial small subunit ribosomal RNA", at positions 338 to 795 of the family's 1533-position model. The record is from RNAcentral. Lineage: Bacteria; Pseudomonadati; Pseudomonadota; Gammaproteobacteria; Oceanospirillales; Halomonadaceae.